This is a long non-coding RNA of Vespula vulgaris, 2472 nucleotides long. RefSeq lists it as uncharacterized. NCBI's taxonomy places the organism in Eukaryota, Metazoa, Arthropoda, Insecta, Hymenoptera, Vespidae. The transcript is spliced from 3 exons. The record is from RefSeq and is a predicted model, not a curated record.
UGGGGAUAGUCGGCUUCGAACGACGACAACAAAGUCGGGCCUUGAAACAACAUUUAUAGUUUCUGGUUCAGUUGUGCUUUGGACUUCGACGAGUGAACUUAGAAAAUUUCGCAGGCUGCCAUCCAAACGAAGAAUUUACACUUUUAUUUCGCUCUUUCGAGGACUUUGAUAAUCUACCUCCACGAGUAAACUUAGAAAUUUCUGCACUUUCGGGAGACUUUGACAUCUAUUUCCACGAGUGGACUUAGAAAUUUUUGCAGAAUGCCAUUCGAGAUAAUAUUAACGAAAACUUAAAAACACGCAGUUGCACCCAUUUCAAUGAUGUAAUCGGGUGUUAGCAUCGCUAAAAUAAAUUUAUCGCGAAGUAGAAGCAGUGUUUGUUCGUUCGCGUUUCGCGAUUUAAAACACAAGUGCUUUUGCAUAGACUGCGCGCAAUGCAGUCGUUAGAGUCAGUGUUUGUUCGUAAAGUUAUUUGCUUUCUUAACAGUCGCACCGACUGUAUUUAUAAUAUAUAGUAGAGUUUCGCGAAAUAAAUUCAGUGACCGUUCGUUAAUAAAUAACUACCGCGAAUUAGAGUCAGUGCAUCACUGAAGAGGAUCUCAACCAACUUCGAUGUCGACCUACCUCAUUUUCAACCAACUACAAAUCAUCCACCCUCAAUUUCGACCUAAGUCGCGGUCCAGUGUUUUGGAGCCGUCGCAGAACUUCUAAAGUAGUAAGUUAAUUUUUAUGUCCCUCCGAUCACUCAAUCAUGUCGAGGACGAAAGGUCCGAAUCGGCACGAGUGAUUGGUUGUAAUUACUUAGUAGAAGAGCAAUGAGUGACCACGAGUAAGUUUCUUCGGAGAUUUACUCGUGAAUGGUUCGUUAUUUUUUGAUUUAUUUAUUAGAUCAGGAUAGAGUCUUCUUGCUUAAACGCGUUAAUUAUAAUUAUUUGAAAUUUUGAAUAUUUAAAUGCAUUUUUAAAUAAUUUUCUCUCGCGAAAAUAGUAAAAUAUCGCGAUAUUCGCAAAUUUUAGUAAUGAAUAAGCAAGAAGACAUUCGCGAUGGAUAGUCUCUGGAUUACAAGCGAUAUUAUAUUAUUUAUUUUCUAUUAAUUCGAAUAAUUGCUUGUAAGAAGGAACGUCCAAUUUUUUUUCAUUACAUUUUUAAUGAAAGAUUAGUCAUUUUUAUUAAUAAAAGAGAAGUUUCAAUAGAGUCAUUGCUUUUAUAAGAAUAAAGUAGAGUCGUUGCUUCUAAAAGAAUAAAGUAGAGUAGAAUCAUUGAUAAAAGACAAAGAGACUUGUAAAAUCAUAACGCGUAGAACAUAAAAUAACUUAAUCAAUUUUUAGCUUAGGAUUUUCAGCAAUUAAUAUAUUAAUCCUCGUUUCUCUUCUGAUGCUUUCUCGAUUUUUCGUUUCAGGGGUGGUUUAGAGUUGCGUUAGAUGUAUUAGUUUACUUUCACGUCUUAGAAUAAGGGUCGGUUUUAGUUUUUGACGUAGGUAGUGACGAUAGUUAUUAAAUGUGUUCUAUAGUUGUGGUUAGGGCACGAAGCAGAGAAGAGACUAUAUGUCGAAGAGGCCCCCACAAAUUGUGGCUCAAGAGGGCAACUAUUAGACUAUUGAGUUAUUCUCGAAAGUUGGACAAAAUACUUCGGGAAUGGCUCUUAAUAAUAUUUUCAUUAUACCAUGUUGUCACUCAAAAUGCUCUUAUAUAAUGAUAAUAUAAUUUUCAGAAACUGAGAAGGCGUAACAUUCCGUCUCCCAUCUCACAUUGCCACGCGUUCGCGAAUAGAAUUUUUACGUAUUUUAUACUUUUGUUAUUAAUGUCCAGCAAUAAAUUUUUCGCAUUUUUCUUUUCUAAAGUUGAAUUAAAUUCGUAAUUUUAGUUUUAUAAAGUUAAGUUUUGUAUAAAGUAAUAAUUUCGAAACGUAUAAAAUAUGGCAAUUGUGAGGACCACUGAAAGCGCACAUGGGGAUAAGAUAAGAACAUUUAAAUACAUAGCAUAUUCUCCAUUCAAUUUUACAGGAAGGAUAUCUGACAGAAUUCCAGUAUCACCCAGCGAAUAGCUGCACACUUUAGAUUAAACAAUUAUUUCAAAUAGUUGAUUAAAUUGUUGAUUAACUCCUCUAUCUUCUCUCGGGUGGGACCCUUGGGAGGGGCCCUCGGGUGUGGGCCUUAGGCGGGUUUCGUUCUUUCACUAAGGAAAAAUUAAACUAAUUUAUGAUACUCUGAUUUUCACUUGGUGAAAUGAUCUUUAGAUCCAUUCUUCUGAGUUCUAUCUUUCUCACGUUCCGUGUUUCUUAUCUUUUAUUCUUUUCCUUUUUCUUUUUCUAUUUCUCCUUCUCUUUCUCUUUCUCUUUCUCUUUCUCUUUCUCUUUCUCUUUCUCUUUCUCUUUCUCUUAAUCUUUUACGUUUUAUCUGUUUCAGAUUAGAUCGUCGAGGGAUCGAUCAUCGUGAAAUUAAAUUUUUACAGGGAAUUAUUAAUUGUAUAUUU